ACUUCUCAAAAGCCAAAAGUCCUUUUAGGGGCAAAUUCCCUAUAACCCCUCCACAACAACCCUCAUCUGCCGCCAACAUCUUCAUUCAUCCUCCAACUACCCAACAAUUAAGGUUACCAGCUUUCUCUCCUCCUUUCUCUUCUGUACGUAUCUCUUAACAAUUAAAGUCACCAUGUACUUAUCUUUCCAUCUUCAUUCAUCCUCCAAUUAAUGCUUCCAUAAAAUUCUCAAUAUUUGAAACUUGGUUGGAUUUUCCUCUUCCUGAUGUUGAUGAGGAUGAUGAAGAUUUUGAACUAUCUGAUGCACAACAAGAGUAUGCUCUGACUGUCGAAAGUUUGGCACCAAGAUUGGCUGCUCUUAGGAUUGAACUUUGCCCGGGUUAUAUCAGUGAAAGUUCUUUCUGGAAGAUAUAUUUUGUACUUUUGCAUCCGAGACUUGAACCUCAUGCUGCUGCACUUCUUUCGAGACCCGAGGUAAUAGAUCCAGAAUGCGUUGGUUAAAAUUGCCUAAAAUCAAUUAGACAUACUUGUUGUUGUUGCUUGUGCUGCUGCUUGUUGCUGUUGUUGCUCGUUGCUGUCGGAGCCAUACCGGAUAUAUCCAACCCUUACAACUUCUCUUCAGAAGGAAGUAGAAGUGGAGAAUCCAGAAGCAGAGGCCAUGACAGAGAGAGAAGAAGCAGCAAAUAAGCACUGGCAGGUCCUCAACACGAGGCCGCUGAUCUUGUCUGGACUAACAAACAAAGAUUUCAUCUUUGUGGAUGGGUGAAAAUGGAUAUUGAUUGAUAAUUGUGAAAAUUAAUUUGGGGUGUUUAGAACAUUCCCCUAAUUGUAGACCCCCAAUGUGUCGCCAUCUUCCUAAAGAAUAUGCAAAGCAAUUAUGUCACCAACUUUACACAAAGUUUUUCAAGACAUGCUUUUAAAAACUUGUAAAUUAAACAUUUUGGAGUUCGAAAUUGAGCAAAUUGAGAUCUGGAUGUUGUUGAUCAGAUGGAUUGAGUGAAAAUUGAAGUGGUUAGAGGAGAACUGUGAUUGAAUUUGUGGUUAAACAGGAUGACUGUAGUGGAAGGUGAAUGGAGAAUGCCAGAAUGGAGUGAGAUUGACGAUGAUGAAAAGGGACUAUCCGAGCAACAAGUGAGCAAACCACAAAGAGCAAACACGCUAUUUUGAAAAGGUGGAGACUAAAGGUGAAAAACUGACAAACCACAGGUACUAUCCGGGCAAUUAACUCUAUGGAAUGUAAGAAAAUACUUAUUUGUCAUCUGUUAAACUAUAUAAUUCUUAUGAGCUAUAACAUAUUUAGCUUAUGUGAUUUUAACGUUGAAAGUUAAAAGUCUCUAGUGUUGGAUUCCGUGCAUGUUUAAAACAUAAAUCUUUUUUAUGCACGGAAAGACACAUGUGUGUACGAAACGUGCAUUUAAAUUUUCACAAAUGCAACCGUUUAAGAAAAAAGUUGCAGUUUUUAGAAUAAUUUGCAAUCUUUAAAUAAAAAAGUUGCAAAUUCAAAAUAAUUUUGCAACCUUUUAUUAGAAAGGUUGUAUCGGAUCUUCUAAUGCAAUCUUUAUGUUCAACAAAGUUGCAUCAGAGUUAAAUGCAACUUAUUUGAAAAAGUUGCUUCUAAAAGGUUGAAUUAGCCCUAUUUUAUAGCAGUGAGUUUAAAAUUUAAGAGUAAAGUAAUAAAAUGAUGUUUCAUAAUCUUGUACCUAAUAAUAUAAUAGAGUUAAUUGCCAAAAUCGCCCCUGAGGUUUGAGCACAUUUGCUAUUUUCGUC
Helianthus annuus (common sunflower) is the source of this 1766-nucleotide long non-coding RNA. RefSeq lists it as uncharacterized. The transcript is spliced from 5 exons. NCBI's taxonomy places the organism in Eukaryota, Viridiplantae, Streptophyta, Magnoliopsida, Asterales, Asteraceae. The record is from RefSeq and is a predicted model, not a curated record.